GGGAGUGCAAAUGCUUAUGAUGUAUGACAAAAAAUUGAAUGACAAGUUAUAGUUCUUUAUUUAUGCUAUUCAGAAUUGUACAAAGAAAAUAACAAAAAUGGUUUUCAAUUUUGGGUACAAACUUGUGAUGACUCUUGAAAAGAGUUAUAUUUAAUGCCUUUAAACCUAGCUAAUUGCUUGUACUUAAGUACAUUUUGUUGCAUUUUAGUACAUUUUAAUUAGCAUUUUUAAUAUUGCAUUAGG
Molecule: long non-coding RNA, 243 nt
Filed under: Gossypium barbadense (sea-island cotton)
Lineage: Eukaryota; Viridiplantae; Streptophyta; Magnoliopsida; Malvales; Malvaceae
Description: long non-coding RNA (GBAR_LNC001178)
Source: RNAcentral